GUCCGACUACUCGGAAUACUAGACUUUAUUCACACAGCGCGAACCACACUGUGGUCAGGAACAUUUUUGGUUAUAAGUGAAAUAUCUACCAAAGAUUUACCAUCUACAAGAUGAAGAUGAGAACACAAGCGGGCUUGCUCGCUGCCUGCGCUGGCAUUGUCAUUUGCGUUGCACAGGCCGACGAAUUAUCAGAGAAGUGCGACUUCUCUGACCUCGACUUGGAGACAAUGGUCGACAACAUUGUGCGGCGGCUGCCCCCGUCGUACUCAACACCAGGGCAAAAACCGGAAGAAAUCGUACUCGGAAUAACCAUGGGCCCUCCUGUGCUGAAAGGCUUGGAUAAUUUCGAACCUUAUGGUCCAUUGUUCAGCUAUUGCCGAAAGGGCGCCAAGCUCGUCCAAUUAGACCUCAUCACUUAUCGCCUCAUGGAGCUCUCCGCGGCUUGGAAAACGUGCGAUGGAAAGGAGGGAGUCAUUGGAACUUACGGAACUGCCAGAGUUACGGUGACUUUCGAGGUGGUCAACGGGACUGGCGAAAAUAAUUUCCAGGAUAAAGGAAAGAAGCUGGUUCUUCACAGUGACCCGAAUCCUGUUGAAGUCAGUCUCAUUAGCGUGUACAUUCGAGGGGCAGGAGAACUGUUGAGUAACGUUGUAACAGCAUCUAGGUUAUUUCUGCCUAAGUUGCCCACGGAGUUAUUAACUAACGAAGUUACAUUUCGAUUCCGGGAGAUACUCAAGGAUUUAACUGAACGGCCUUGACAGGCUGCUUAGGCAGAACGUAGUCAGCGCCAUUCAUGGCUUGCGGGCAGUCUAGGCUACAGCUUAGAUCAAAUACGAUGUAUUGAAAUACAGCAAACUAAUUCGACUCUGCACUACGAAAUAUUUUCAAUUAUGGCGCCCGUCUUAAUAAAUGACUCCUUUUUUUGUGUAUGUCUCGCAUCGAUUUCUCGCAUGUUGUUUCCUUCCUCUGUGGGGUAUACUUAGGCCCAAUGUGAGUAGUAGUCAGACUCCGAAGAGACGAGCACCUCGUGUGUUUAGGUCAUUCAUUUCUCGUGAAAAAAAAAUGAACAUCUAAUUCUAAAAGUCUAUUGCUAACCCAAUUUUUUUCUAUAGUCUAUAUGUACCGGUGCCUAUUUCAAUAUUCAGGCGGGUAUAGCUUACCAACAGCCUCAAGCAAAGUAACUUUCUCUAGCUCAUUAAUAAAACCUAUUUUAUUUCCCAGCUCAUGUUGAAUUGUAGAAGAGAAAAAGUGGUUCUCCCGUGGUUCAAUACAGUUUCCUACCUGCAUUUGCACAGGCCUAUUUCUACAUUGCAAAUGCGAACAAAAAAGCUGUUGUGAAGGAAACAAUGCUACACGGAAUAGUUUUGGUAAAGAAUCUCUCUUGCACCGACCUCCUGCUGUACCGGGAUUUGGGUACACAGAAUUGCUUUGUAAACAUUCAUCCCCUCUUAUCGUAAUUAAUAGGCUAGAAGUGCAGACACGGAUUGCGAUUUGUUGGCAACCCUGCUUGUCUUUUUCUAAUGUGUUAUGAAGCAUAUCUGUGCGAAACAGCCGUACUCUUAAAUAAGCGCGGGCGACGAAACAGUAGUAAACCACAAACGCAAAGAGGAAAUUGUAGCCUAUAGAAGAUGUGAUGACUUCUGUGAGAAAUGAAUAGCUUUAGCGUGUUUUUUUUAAACAGUAACAAUUGAAGUGAGUAUUUGCUGAAUGCCUAUAGUCUGCACUCAAUGUUCAAGAAGAAAAUGAUAGAAUGUUAGCUGGUUCAAUAUAUUUCAGUUAGUGUGCCAACCAACAAAAUAACUAGAGUGAGAUGUUUUAGUAAACUCAUUUCACUUGUUUUAGUUUGCAAUGCUAGUAGCACGGAGUUUCGAUAAAAUUUCUCAGUGGCAGCUGCUUCAUCAUACUCGAAAGUUCCAACUUUUUCAAUUUGCUGGCUUAAAAAGGAUUGCUGUGAUGAGUAUUAGGAUACUUUACGCACAUUUUGGUUUAUAUGCAUUGAAUCACUUUGCCGCCAAUUUGGGUAACGCGGUAGGCCGUAAUGGGUAUGUGCUGCCCCUGCUUGAUGUAAAAUUGAGUUUACGCGGAUAUAUGCGACAAGGUGGCGCGCUGACUGACUCGGAAUAGAAGCAGGGAACCUUUAGCAUUUACAAUACUGCGCGCGAGUUUCACAUGCGAUGUGGCUGAAUAAAGGCAACCUGGCAUGCCUACACCGAACUCGACUGAACGUCGCAAACAAUAAAGACUUUUUGCUUACUGAAUCUACUAAGGUCGCCAUUGUACACUGUGGGCCACUCUAAAGCUUGUGUAUGCCCUCGAAUAAAGUUAGU
Non-coding RNA from Dermacentor albipictus, 2327 nucleotides. Lineage: Eukaryota; Metazoa; Arthropoda; Arachnida; Ixodida; Ixodidae. The record is from RefSeq and is a predicted model, not a curated record.